AGGAAGCUCCGGGCGGGAGAGCCGCGUCCACUCCUCUUUCCAGACUAUGAUGGGGCCCAGGGACCCCUCCCCUCCGACUGAGCCCCAUAGACCCCCUACUCAGGCCAGAAGGGGAAAGCUGAGCUCCUGCUGGCCCAGGCAUCAGAAUUCCUGGAGGAAAAGUUGCCUAUCUGUUGGGUCAGAUUUCUGAAGACUGAUGAGGCCCAUUUUCUGGCUGGAGUGAAAUGACAUGAUCUCAGCUCACUGAAACUUCUGCCUCCCAGGUUCAAGCAAUUCUCCUGCCUCAGCCUCGCGAGUAGCUGGGAUUACAGAUAUCCUUCGAGUUGGAUUUCGACUGGGUUCUGCCAGUGGGAUGUAUCCAUGCGAGAUUCUGGAACUAACAUCAGAGAGAGUCCAAGCUUCUAACUUUUAUCAGCGGCAGUGACAAUAGUCAAGCAGCAUUGAUGACAAACGGCAAGAGUUUAGAAAGUACCAGUGACGUGCCUGAUAGAAUCUCACCACAAGAUGGAAGCCAACUCGUCAGAAGCCUGGAAAGCCCACCCAGCGUGGGACCUCUGUGGGUCCAGGAUCUUGGAAUGGUAUCCCAUGGUUCAAUCUUCUGGAUUCAACCACAUAAAUUUACCCCACCCAUGUCGUGGACCCAAGCUUCCUACCAUGUAUACUUAGCUUAAAUGCAAGAUAGUACUAUUUUGUUCAUCUUGAUUGGAGUGAGAAAUGAAUAGGUCCAUGCACAUAUAUUUCUUUUACCACAACAAGAUGAUGAAGAAAUAAAUCCAUAAUAUCGA
RNAcentral lists this long non-coding RNA (785 nucleotides) under Homo sapiens (human). Its description in RNAcentral is "HSALNT0291157". The record is from RNAcentral. Lineage: Eukaryota; Metazoa; Chordata; Mammalia; Primates; Hominidae.